Molecule: RNA transcript, 1179 nt
Organism: Panicum virgatum (switchgrass)
Lineage: Eukaryota; Viridiplantae; Streptophyta; Magnoliopsida; Poales; Poaceae
Gene name: dihydroxy-acid dehydratase, chloroplastic-like
Exons: 6
Source: RefSeq, a predicted model, not a curated record
UCCGUUCUCUCCCUCUCACUUCCUUUGCUGCUCCUCGCGUCUCUGCCCGGUGAGCUCCUUGCGUCCCUACGACUUGCUUCCACUUCGUCGCACGCUACUUCACGCCCUCCAGCCCGGCGAGCUCCUCCCAUCCCUACGGCUUCCCUUGCACGCACGUUGGUCCCCUUCUUCCCUCCGUACAGUCUUCCAAUGUGGCUUCGGUGAUGGCCAUCCGUGCCUCCUGCUCCUUCAUGUGUUCUGCUCCUCUUUGGGCUGCAAUUGCUAAUUUCAAGGUCACUUCUAGGUGCAAGGUAAAGGAUCCGUUGGUUCUGUGUGCUGCUAAGUAGGAUCUGAAGUUGUUGCAGCAUCAUGUUGCAAGUCCUGGUCACUUUCAGGGCAAUUCUUAUGACAUAGUAAUUGCUUUCCAAUGGAUCAAUCAGUGAUGAGCAAAGAAAGAACGUGCUCCGCAAUUCAUUUCCAGGUGCAGGUGCAGGUGCAUGUGGUAUGUACACAGCUAACAUGAUGUCAUCGGUUAUCAAGGCCAUUGGCAUGAGCCUUCCAUACAGUUCUUCAACUCCUGCUAAAGACCCACUAAAACUUGAGGAAUGCCGCCUUUCUGGGAAGUAUCUUUUAGAAUUGCUAAAGAUAGACUUCAAGCCUAGGAACAUUAUCACCAAUAAGUCAUUGCGGAAUGCAAUGGUUAUUGUCAUGGCUCUUGGUGGGUCAACUAAUGAGUUGGUUGUUGCCUAAUUGUAUCACAUCUACUUAUUUUAUUAGUACACCAAAGCUUAUUUGUUACUCAUUAUGAUCUUAAAAUUACAUUUCAAUUGUUUAGAUGCAUUUGUGCAAAUGAAAAAGGCUGAUUAACUUGCCACUGAUGCUGCAAGGGAAAAAAAUAAUUUGAUUCCAUCUACAACAUCUCCAUCAUGGUAAGGUCCUUUUGCUCCUUGCGUUCCCUUGACUAUGUUGCACACUAGAGUAUUAUAUGUUCCUGAUUGUUUUUUAUUUUAGGAAAUUUCUAUAUAGUUCAUCCUGCUGUGUGUCAAUUCAUUUAUCUUAUCUUCUAUUCUGAACAUACAAUGUCAGGGAUUAGUUUUACUCAAAUUUAAGCAAUACUUAUACUGAGGAGUUAUAUUAUUAUCUAAUUAAAUACUUAAAAGUUCUAAAAAAGUCCUAUCCUAUAGUAAUAAUGUGGAACAA